GAGGACUUAGCUUAAUUAAAGCGUCCGGUUUGCAUCCGGGAGAUGUGGGGUGUAGUCUUGCAGUCUUUA
RNAcentral lists this transfer RNA (69 nucleotides) under Priodontes maximus. RNAcentral's name for it is "tRNA-Ala". It matches the Rfam family "tRNA". From Rfam's summary of the family: Transfer RNA (tRNA) molecules are approximately 80 nucleotides in length. The record is from RNAcentral. Lineage: Eukaryota; Metazoa; Chordata; Mammalia; Cingulata; Chlamyphoridae.